GAUGAACGCUAGCGGCAGGCCUAAUACAUGCAAGUCGAACGGUAAGGCCCUUUCGGGGGUACACGAGUGGCGGACGGGUGCGUAACGCGUAUGCAACAUGCCUUCCAGCGGGGGAUAUACCAGGGAAACUUGGCGCAAUACCCCAUAGAAUUACGGGACCGCAUGGUCUUGUGAUUAAAACUCCGGUGCUGGGAGAUUGGCAUGCGUGACAUUAGCUAGUUGGCGGGGUAACGGCCCACCAAGGCGACGAUGUCUAGCUGGUCUGAGAGGAUGAUCAGCCACACUGGGACUGAGACACGGCCCAGACUCCUACGGGAGGCAGCAGUAGGGAAUCUUCCGCAAUGGACGAAAGUCUGACGGAGCAACGCCGCGUGAGUGAUGAAGGUUUUCGGAUCGUAAACUCUGUUGUUAGGGAAGAACAAGUGCCGUUCGAAAGGGCGGCACCUUGACGGUACCUAACGAGAAAGCCACGGCUAACUACGUGCCAGCAGCCGCGGUAAUGUCUGU
RNAcentral lists this ribosomal RNA (507 nucleotides) under uncultured bacterium. RNAcentral describes it as "bacterial SSU rRNA". It matches the Rfam family "Bacterial small subunit ribosomal RNA", at positions 28 to 528 of the family's 1533-position model. The record is from RNAcentral.